Molecule: long non-coding RNA, 214 nt
Filed under: Homo sapiens (human)
Lineage: Eukaryota; Metazoa; Chordata; Mammalia; Primates; Hominidae
Description: non-protein coding lnc-C16orf78-6:1
Source: RNAcentral
UUCCUUUGCUCCCUUUCCCUUCCCAGUCUGAGCAGAACCUGUGGCUACCAAGUUCCUGGAUGGCCUGGCCUCUGGCCACCUCUGUACCAUUGCCUCUUUGCCUCUGGUACUCUAGUCACCCUUGCCUUCUGUUGUUAGUGCCAUGCCUCCCGCUUGUCACAGGGCCUUUGCACAGGCAUAUUUCUCUGGUCCAAAGCCCUUAUCUUAAUCCAUU